GUGCCAGCAGCCGCGGUAAUACGGAGGGCGCAAACAUUGUCCGGAAUUACUGGGCGUAAAGGGAGCGCAGGUGGCUUGGUAAGUCCUAUGUGAAAGCCCGCGGCUCAACCGCGGAAAGCCAUAGGAUACUGCCGAGCUUGAGACGGGUAGAGGCGAGCGGAAUUCCCGGUGUAGCGGUGGAAUGCGUAGAUAUCGGGAAGAACACCAGUGGCGAAGGCGGCUCGCUGGGCCCGUUCUGACGCUCAGGCCCGAAAGCGUGGGGAGCAAACAGGAUUAGAUACCCUGGUAGUCCACGCCGUAAACGAUGGGCACUAGGUGCCGGGGAGUGUGACCUUUUCGGUGCCGUAGCUAACGCGUUAAGUGCCCCGCCUGGGGAGUACGGCCGCAAGGCUGAAACUCAAAGGAAUUGACGGGGGCCCGCACAAGCGGUGGAGCAUGUGGUUUAAUUCGAUGCAACGCGAAGAACCUUACCUGGGCUUGACAUCCUGGGGAAGUCGGGUGGAAACAUCCGGUGCCCUUCGGGGCUCCAGGACAGGUGCUGCAUGGC
Molecule: ribosomal RNA, 547 nt
Filed under: uncultured Gemmatimonadota bacterium
Lineage: Bacteria; Pseudomonadati; Gemmatimonadota
Description: bacterial SSU rRNA
Rfam family: Bacterial small subunit ribosomal RNA
Source: RNAcentral